This 276-nucleotide ribosomal RNA is filed under the name uncultured prokaryote. RNAcentral's name for it is "partial 16S ribosomal RNA". It matches the Rfam family "Bacterial small subunit ribosomal RNA", at positions 524 to 800 of the family's 1533-position model. The record is from RNAcentral.
UACGUAGGGGGCGAGCGUUGUCCGGAUUUACUGGGCGUAAAGGGUGAGUAGGCGGUUAUAUAUGUCAGGUGUAAAAAGCUAUGGCUUAACCAUAGUAAGCACUUGAAACUGUAUGACUUGAGUGCAGGAGAGGUAAGCGGAAUUCCUAGUGUAGCGGUGAAAUGCGUAGAUAUUCGGAGGAACACCAGUGGCGAAGGCGGCCUACUGGGCUUUAACUGACGCUGAGGCUCGAAAGUGUGGGGAGCAAACAGGAUUAGAUACCCCGGUAGUCCCUGA